This 468-nucleotide ribosomal RNA is filed under the name uncultured bacterium. RNAcentral's name for it is "partial 16S ribosomal RNA". It matches the Rfam family "Bacterial small subunit ribosomal RNA", at positions 28 to 507 of the family's 1533-position model. The record is from RNAcentral.
GACGAACGCUGGCGGCGUGCUUAACACAUGCAAGUCGAACGGUGAGGCGCUGCUUUUGUUGGGUGCUCGAGUUGCGAACGGAAGGGUAACAUGUGAGGAGCCUGCCCUUCACUCUUGGAUAGCUUCAGCAAACGGGGGCUAGUAUCGGAUAGGAUCUCCUGCUUCAUUGGGAGGGUUGGUAUGUUUCGGGGGUUGUUUCUGGGCGCGCGGGUCAUCAGCUUGUUGGGGGGGUAGUGGCUGACGAGGGCUUUGACGGGUAGCCGGCCUGAGAGGGUUACAGGCAACAUUGGGACUGAGACGGGGGGCAGACUCCUACGGGAGGGAGCAGUGGGGGAUAUUGUGAAAUGGGCGGAAGGCGGAUGCAGUAACGGCGCGUGCGGGAUGAAGGCCUUCGGGCUGUAAAGCGGUUUCGCCUGUGACGAAGCGUGAGUGACGGUAAUGGGUAAAGAAGCACCGGCUAACUACGUG